RNAcentral lists this ribosomal RNA (497 nucleotides) under uncultured bacterium. RNAcentral's name for it is "partial 16S ribosomal RNA". It matches the Rfam family "Bacterial small subunit ribosomal RNA", at positions 28 to 507 of the family's 1533-position model. The record is from RNAcentral.
GAUGAACGCUGGCGGCGUGCCUAAUACAUGCAAGUCGAGCGAACGGACGAGAAGCCUGCUUCUCUGAUGUUAGUGGCGGACGGGUGAGUAACACGUGGAUAACCUACCUAUAAGACUGGGAUAACUUCGGGAAACCGGAGCUAAUACCGGAUGAUAUUUUGAACCGCAUGGUUCAAAAGUGAAAGACGGUCUUGCUGUCACUUAUAGAUGGAUCCGCGCUGCAUUAGCUAGUUGGUAAGGUAACGGCUUACCAAGGCAACGAUGCAUAGCCGACCUGAGAGGGUGAUCGGCCACACUGGAACUGAGACACGGUCCAGACUCCUACGGGAGGCAGCAGUAGGGAAUCUUCCGCAAUGGGCGAAAGCCUGACGGAGCAACGCCGCGUGAGUGAUGAAGGUCUUCGGAUCGUAAAACUCUGUUAUUAGGGAAGAACAUAUGUGUAAGUAACUGUGCACAUCUUGACGGUACCUAAUCAGAAAGCCACGGCUAACUACGUG